CAAAAGAAGAGUUUGAUCCUAGCUCAGAAAGAACGCUAGCUAUAUGCUUAACACAUGCAAGUCGAACGUUGUUUUCGGGGAGCUGGGCAAAAGGAAAAUAGGCUCCUAUGGUGAAGGUAGCUUGUCUCACCUAGGAGGUGGUAACAGUUGAAAACAAAGUGGCGAACAGGUGCGUAAUGCGUGGGAAUCUGCCGAACAGUUCAGGCCAAAUCCUGAAGAAAGCUAAAAGGUGUUGUUUGAUGAGCCCGUGUAGUAUUAGGUAGUUGGUCAGGUAAAGGCUGCCAAGCCAAUGAUGCUUAGUUGGUCUUUUCGGAUGAUCAGCCACAUUGGGGCUGAGACACGACCCGUACUACCACGAGGGAAAGCAGUGGGGAACCUUGGGCAAUGGGCGAAAGCCCGAUCCAGCAAUAUCGCGUGAGUGAAGAAGGGCAAUGUCGCUUGUAAAGCUCUUUCCUCGAGUGCACGAUCAUGACAAGACUCGAUGAAGAAGCUCCGGCUAACACCAUUCCAGUAGCUGUGGUAAGACGGAGGUGGGGCAAGUGUUCUUCGAAAUGACUGGGUGUAAAGGGCACGUAGGCGGUGAAUCGGGUUGAAAGUGAAAGUCGCCAAAAACUGGUGGAAUGCUCUCGAAAUCAAUUCACUUGAGUGAGACAGAGGAGAGUGGAAUUUCGUGCAUAGGGGUGAAAUCCGCAGAUCUACGAAGGAAGGCCAAAAGCGAAGGCAGCUCUCUGGGUCCUUACUGACGUUGGAGUGCGAAAGCAUGGGGAGUGAACGGGAUUACAUACCCUGGUAGUCCAUGCCGUAAAUGACGAGAGUUUGCCCUAGGUCUACGUGGAUUAAGGGCCCAGCUAACGCGUUAAACACUCCGCCUGGGGAGUACGGGCACAAGACCGAAACUCAAAGGAAUUAACGGGGGCCUGCACAAGUGGUGGUGCAUGUGGUUUAAUUCGAUACAACGCGCAAAACCUUAGCAGCCCUUGAAAUAUGAAAAAGAAAACCAGUCCUUAACGGGAUGGUACUUACUUUCAUACAAGUGUUGCAUGGCUGUCGUCAGCUCGUGUCGUGAGAUGUUUGGUCAUGUCCUAUAACGAGCGAAACCCUCGUUUUGUGUUGCUGAGACAUGCGCCUUAGGAUAAAGUCUUUGCAACCGAAGUGAGACGAGGAGCCGAGUGAUUACGAAAGCCAGCGCUACUAAUUUAUUUAGUGUCAGCACGUAGUUGUGCUGUCAGUAAGAAGGGAGCCGACGCCUUUCAAAUUUGAAGCAUUUUCUAGUGUGCGCUCUUUUUUUAUUGCAUCUUGUUUAGAGCAAGAAAACGAAUGUGCGUUAGCCCUUUAUUAGUAAUGGAGGCUUUCUUUUUUUCAGCUCAAUCCAUUGCUUCUUGCUUUGGGCUUUUCUCGCUUUUUUUAGUCAAGUCUAGGUUUUGGCCUUAUCUUGCAGGUGACGAUGACGUCGAUUUGGCGAUGGAGAAAGACUCGACAUUCAAGCGAGCCGCCCGGUGGUGUGGUACGUAGUGGGUUUAGUACGCCCCACCAAAACAACUCCGAAAUAAACUAAAAGGUGCAUGCGGCACUCACGAAGGACUGCUAGUGAUAUACUGGAGGAAGGUGGGGAUGAAGUCAAGUCCGCAUGGAACUUAUGGGCUGGGCUACACACGUGCUACAAUGGCAAUUACAAUGGGAAGCAAGGCUGUAAGACGGAGCGAAUCCGGAAAUAUUGCCUCAGUUCAAAUUGUUCUCUACAACUCGGGAACAUGAAGUUCGAAUCGCUAGUAAUCGCGGAUCAGAAUGCCGCGGUGAAUAUGUACCCGGGCCCUGUACACACCGCCUGUCACACCCUUGGAAUUGGUUUCGCCAGAAGCAUCAGACCAAUGAUCACCCAUGACUUCUGUGUACCACUAGUGCCACAAAGGCUUUUGGUGGUCUUCUUGGUGCAUACCACGGUGGGGUCUUCGAUUGGGGUGAAGUCGUAACAAGGUAGCCAUAGGGGAACCUGUGGCUGGAUUAAAUCCUUC
Non-coding RNA from Lupinus angustifolius (narrow-leaved blue lupine), 2012 nucleotides. Lineage: Eukaryota; Viridiplantae; Streptophyta; Magnoliopsida; Fabales; Fabaceae. The record is from Rfam.